GUGUCAGCCGCCGCGGUAAUACGGAGGGUGCAAGCGUUAUUCGGAUUUAUUGGGCGUAAAGGGCGUGUAGGUGGUCUGAUAAGUCAGGUGUGAAAGCCCCUGGCUCAACCAGGGAAGUGCAUUUGAAACUAUCAGACUUGAGUACGGGAGGGGGAAGUGGAAUUCCUGGUGUAGAGGUGAAAUUCGUAGAUAUCAGGAGGAAUACCGGUGGCGAAGGCGACUUCCUGGACCGAUACUGACACUGAGACGCGAAAGCGUGGGGAGCAAACAGGAUUAGAUACCCUCGUAGUCC
Molecule: ribosomal RNA, 292 nt
Filed under: uncultured bacterium
Lineage: Bacteria
Description: partial 16S ribosomal RNA
Rfam family: Bacterial small subunit ribosomal RNA
Source: RNAcentral